This 91-nucleotide transfer RNA is filed under the name Sphaerobolus stellatus SS14. RNAcentral's name for it is "tRNA-Gln". The record is from RNAcentral. Lineage: Eukaryota; Fungi; Basidiomycota; Agaricomycetes; Geastrales; Sphaerobolaceae.
GACAGUAUGACCGAGUGGUUAAGGUGUCAGAUUUUGAUAUUACAUUAUCUGAUGCAGUAUGUGCGCGCAGGUUCAAGCCAUCAUACUGAGC